GGCCACGGAGACCUGGAUUUCUCCUCAUUUGGCUCACUCCUGGUCUCUUUCUCUGAAGAUGCUGGAGACUUUGUUGCAAGAAAGGAUGGCUUUAGGUCAUAUUGCUGAGGCCUGAUCUUAAAGAUCUAAUUGCUAUUGGAAGAGAAUCCUGUUUCCCAACUGGGCCUCCCCUCUGGAGAUGCAGCAAGGAAGACCGUCCAACUCUGCUCUGGGCACCCUGUUGAUGGAUGAGGUGUCAGGCCAGUCGUCAUGUGAGGACUGGUUUCCAAAUGGUCAUCAAAUACAGGCAUGUCAGAAUUCUGAGAAACAAAGUAAAUGGCUAUUUUUUUCUUCCUGAGGACUGGUUCACUGUUGUGUUGAGAACAGAUUCUGGAUGCCAUGGUGGAAGCAGGAAGACCAAUUUCAAAGAUAUUGGAAUAAUUCAGCCAUCCUCAAAGAGUUUAAUGAAUGUGGUACCACAAGCAAAAUGUACGUCCACAUUGAAAGGUAAGAUGAAUUACUUCAUCUAG
Molecule: long non-coding RNA, 509 nt
Filed under: Callithrix jacchus (white-tufted-ear marmoset)
Lineage: Eukaryota; Metazoa; Chordata; Mammalia; Primates; Cebidae
Description: lncRNA (ENSCJAG00000062111.2)
Source: RNAcentral